UACGUAGGGCGCGAGCGUUGUCCGGAUUUAUUGGGCGUAAAGAGCGCGCAGGCGGCGGUGCUGGCCCGGCGUGAAAGCCCCCGGCUCAACCGGGGAGAGUCGUCGGGGACCGCACCGCUUGAGGGCGGUAGGGGCUGGUGGAAUGCCUGGUGUAGUGGUGAAAUGCGUAGAGAUCAGGCAGAACACCUGGGGCGAAGGCGGCCAGCUGGGCCGUCCCUGACGCUGAGGCGCGAAGGCGUGGGGAGCGAACGGG
This 253-nucleotide ribosomal RNA is filed under the name uncultured bacterium. RNAcentral describes it as "partial 16S ribosomal RNA". It matches the Rfam family "Bacterial small subunit ribosomal RNA", at positions 524 to 776 of the family's 1533-position model. The record is from RNAcentral.